AACGCACCUUGCGCUCCUUGGUAUUCCGAGGAGCAUGCCUGUUUGAGUGUCAUGGAAUUCUCAACUUAUAAAUCCUUGUGAUCUAUAAGCUUGGACUUGGAGGCUUGCUGGCCCUUGCGGUCGGCUCCUCUUGAAUGCAUUAGCUCGAUUCCGUACGGAUCGGCUCUCAGUGUGAUAAUUGUCUACGCUGUGACCGUGAAGUGUUUUGGCGAGCUUCUAACCGUCCAUUAGGACAACUUUUUAACAUCUGACCUCAAAUCAGGUAGGACUACCCGCUGAACUUAA
This 285-nucleotide unclassified non-coding RNA is filed under the name uncultured Trametes. RNAcentral describes it as "sequence contains ITS2". The stretch from base 1 to 52 matches the Rfam family "5.8S ribosomal RNA", at positions 103 to 154 of the family's 154-position model. Lineage: Eukaryota; Fungi; Basidiomycota; Agaricomycetes; Polyporales; Polyporaceae. The record is from RNAcentral.